UUAUAGCAUCAUAAAUGUGCAUAGUAUUUCCCAACCACACCAGAAUAUGUGUUUUUGCAUUGAGAAGCCUACAGCUGAAUUAUGGAGACUCCGAAGCAGAAUGGGAACGAAUUCUUCAUGCUUAUGAAAGUUUUUCACAUGUUAAACAGGUGCCGCGUCGACAAAUGUGGCUCUGGGAGAGUUAGCAUGUGAUGUUGUGUGAACGAACCACUGCCUUCUAUCUUCUGCCCUGUUGCUAUGCUUUUAAGUAGCAACCAUUCACUCUUGCGAGUAUCCCAUUGAUAAACGCAGUAUAGACGCAAACCGGUUCAAUAUCCCCAAGGUGCUAAAAUUUCCACACUCAAGAUCUGCAAUUCAGGAAACUUGUCUUUUCAAUAUCACUCCCUUAAUAUGAUUCUACUCCCAACGCCGAUUUUCCAACCGAACAGCGAGUUAGCCUCUUUCCAUCGUCCGAAUCCAUAGCAAGUUGCAGAACUCGCAACUUGGUUCGGAAUGGAAAAAAAAAAAACCCGUCGGAUCAGGCAGAAGCUGUUAGUGCUUCUGUGCCGUCAGAAACGGUCAGCAUCCAAGACGAUCGCCGAGGCAGACGGCGACUCUCCAGCGUCACCUGAAAGUGCCCCGCUUGGUAAAAAGAAAGCGAGACUAAAGGCGCGCCGCCCGCCUUGCCCAGAAGUUAUUUCGAUCGCCCCCGCUCUUUCUUUUUUUUUUAAUUUCAUACACACAGUCACGGAACCCGGAAGUUUGUGUGUGAGCGCGUCUCUUUCCGCGUGGUGGUUGGUGUUUCGUUUUUCUUUCUUUUUUUUUUAAUUUCUAUCACAUGGCAGUGUGCGAGAGAUACAAUAAAAACAGAAAAAUGGCGACAGUCACGUUGUGGCGACUCUAUGCUGCGUCAUUAGAUAAUCUUCGCGCAAAGAAAGCUAAGAACAAAGACGGGAGAGCGAGGGGGCAACGAGCGCGUCUGGAAAGGCAAAGAAGAAGUGAAGCAGCAUAAGAUACCUUAUACCUUUUUCUGAGGAAUGCAGUCCCUAAUGUUGCCAGCCUCAAAUCUGUUUUAAGUAAGAAUGCUACCUCUUUCUCAAUGCAUUUUCCAGCUUUUCCAUUUCUUGGCAGAAAAAUAGGUCUGGACAUUUUAAAAAUAUAAGAAGGUGAGUGAAGAUCAUAGAAAGCAUAAAAUGGUGAAUUAUUUGCAGAAGAUAUUAACUUCUGUUGGCCUUCUUAUUUUCUAAUCUAGACAGGAAUAUUCUUUCUGUUUUUUUGCAUUUAUGCUAGUACACUAAAGUGUUUCUGUAGCUUAUAACUCAUGAAUACCUGGGGAAAGUUAGGAAUUAAGUGAUUAAGGUGUUACACUAAGGCUGAGGAGAUCCAGGUCCAGUCCACCUUCAGUAGUGCAAAUUCACUAGAUGACUUUAGGGCAGUCACUUUCUUUUAGCACAACUUUUUCACAAAUUACCAGGAGAAUAAAAUGAAGAUUUCCACAUAAGGCACCUUGAAUUUCUGGAGAAAAUGUGGGAUAUAGCUUUAACAAAUACAAGUAUAAAUCAGAUUAACACUUGCUAGUCUCCAAAUUCAUGUAUUAUAUCUUUAGUUGAUACAGGAGAAUGAAUGGCAGCAGUCUUAGUGACAAAUAAAUUGACUAUCUUGGCAUUGGUUUGCAAAAUACAGGACACCUUUUUAAAAUGACAAAAUAACAUGAUGUAGAGCAGCAGUCCCCAACCUUUUGGGCACCAGGGAUCGGUUCAGUGGAGAGAGGUUUUUCCAUGGACCGGAGGGUGCAUGGUUUUGUGUAC
This is a long non-coding RNA of Crotalus tigris (Tiger rattlesnake), 1787 nucleotides long. RefSeq lists it as uncharacterized. The record is from RefSeq and is a predicted model, not a curated record. The transcript has 3 exons. Lineage: Eukaryota; Metazoa; Chordata; Lepidosauria; Squamata; Viperidae.